Molecule: ribosomal RNA, 1398 nt
Filed under: Phycodrys ovifolia
Lineage: Eukaryota; Rhodophyta; Florideophyceae; Ceramiales; Delesseriaceae
Description: LSU rRNA
Rfam family: Eukaryotic large subunit ribosomal RNA
Source: RNAcentral
GCGUUGUAUUGAGAAGGGUGCGUGCUGUUCAGCAUAGAUUUUAUUUGUGUGUAGUCAGUGCGUAUUCCUACCCGUCGUGGGCUUUGCGCGGCCGAUUUUGGGCUGCGUAGGGCUGAGGUAUCCCCAAAAACCUGGUUUUUGGGUUGAUGACGAUGGGGCGCCAACGCGAUACGACCCGUCUUGAAACACGGACCAAGGAGUCCAGCAUAGCUGCGAGUCAAAGGGUGGCAAAACCUGAGGGCGCAGUGAAAGCAAUUGUUGCAAAACGUUGCAGUUUGAGGCGGCCUAGGAUCGUUGAUCCUAGGUCUGACCUGGAGCAGUUAUGCUGGUACCCGAAAGAUGGUGAACUAUGCUUGAGUAGGGUGAAGCCAGAGGAAACUCUGGUGGAAGCUCGUAGCGUUGCUGACGUGCAAAUCGCUCGUCUAACUCGGGUAUAGGGGCGGAAGACUAAUCGAACCAUCUAGUAGCUGGUUUCCUCCGAAGUUUCUCUCAGGAUAGCAGGCCGACGACGUUGUUGUUGUGUGUGGUAGAGCGAAUGAUUAGCGUAUUUUGGGGACAAUUAGUCUUCAGACGAUUCUCAAACUUUAAAUACGCACGGAUGUUGCUGCUUUUUUUGAGCGGCAUCGUCAAAAACGUCGGCCUUGUGGGCCACUUUUGGUAAGCAGAACUGGCGAUACGGGAUGAACCGUAAAUAUGGUUAAGGCGCCAAAUUGCCCGCUUAUAGAUCCCAAAAAAGGUGUUGAUUCAUCGAGACAGCAGGACGGUGGCCAUGGAAGUUGGAAUCCGCUAAGGAGUGUGUAACAACUCACCUGCCGAAUGAAUUAGCCCUGAAAAUGGAUGGCGCUGAAGCGGGUAGCCGACACCAUGUCGUUUGACCAAAGUGGAUAUCAAAUGAGUAGGAGGACGUGGCGGUUGUAUCGAAGCGUAGGUGCAAACCUGCGUGGAACGGCCGCUAGUGCAGAUCUUGGUGGUAGUAGCAAAUAUUCAAACGUGAACCUUGAAGGACGAAGUGGGGAAGGGUUCCACGCGAACAUUGAUUGAGCGUGGGUAAGUCGUUCCUAAGCCGAGUGGCAAUAGCUAAUUAUUGAGCGAAAGGGAAGUAGGUUGAUAUUCCUACACACGGAUGUGGAUGCGGUGACGCACUACUGCGACGAUGACGUCGGCGAUGGAGCUAGGCAGAGUUUUCUUUUCUGUUUAACCGAACCUAGCACGCUGUGUGGAAUCCGCUUGUCGGGAGAAACACGCGUGUUUGGGCAGAGCGCUAGGAUUUUUCUAGCGUCUAGCUCUCCAUCGACGGCCCUUGAAAAAUCGUCUGCUGGCCAAACACUUUUUUUUAGAGUUGUUUGGUGUGAAAAUUCCACGCCGUAACGUACCGAUAACCGAGCAGGUUUUCCAAGA